GAACUUUGAGCUUGGUUGGCUGCUCCAGAAGCCCAGGUAUCUGAGUGACCUCAGCCCCCACUAAAGAAAAUCUGCAAAGGUGUGGCGUUUUGCUUCUUUCACCGUGCCGAGGAUCAAACCCAACACCUUGCAUAUGCGACGCAAGAACUCUUCCCCUAAGCUCCAUCCAAAGUCCUACUGAUGAGUUUACCAGGGGCCCACAAGACAAAGAAGGGAUGGAGAACAUCUUCAAGGUGCUUCAGGAUUGUUUGCACAACGCUGACAAUUCUUCCAGGGAUAUUUAUGAGCUGCGUCCCGCUGAAAUAAAUAAGCUAAAGCCCUAUCCCCCAGUACUUUAUAACUAUAUCUUGAGAUAGGGCCUGUAAAGAGGUGACUGAGCGAGAAUGAGGACAUUAGGGUAGCGCCCUAAUCCAAUAGGACACCAAGUUCUUUGAAGAGGAAAUGCAGACACAUAAAACAUACAACAGAAUCAUGCACGCACAAAGGAAAAGCCACGAGUACACAGCUGGAAGGUGCCCAUAGGCGCACCAAGGACAG
Molecule: long non-coding RNA, 537 nt
Filed under: Fukomys damarensis (Damara mole-rat)
Lineage: Eukaryota; Metazoa; Chordata; Mammalia; Rodentia; Bathyergidae
Description: lncRNA (ENSFDAG00000024528.1)
Source: RNAcentral